RNAcentral lists this ribosomal RNA (810 nucleotides) under Helvella aff. ephippium UC 1999252. RNAcentral's name for it is "eukaryotic LSU rRNA". It matches the Rfam family "Eukaryotic large subunit ribosomal RNA", at positions 1 to 782 of the family's 3401-position model. The record is from RNAcentral. Lineage: Eukaryota; Fungi; Ascomycota; Pezizomycetes; Pezizales; Helvellaceae.
AUUGCCCGUUUGUCGGGCGGGGAGUAACGACUCAUUGGGAACUCCUCGAAUCAGGUAGGGAUACCCGCUGAACUUAAGCAUAUCAAUAAGCGGAGGAAAAGAAACCAACAGGGAUUGCCCCAGUAACGGCGAGUGAAGCGGCAGGAGCUCAAAUUUGAAAUCUGGGGUCUCCGACCUCCGAGUUGUAAUUUGGAGAGGCAUCUUCGGGGGGGAGCGCCGGCCCAUGUUCCUUGGAACAGGACGUCACAGAGGGUGAGAAUCCCGUGCGCGGCCGGCUGCCUCCUCCCGCGUGAAGGGCCUUCGACGAGUCGAGUUGUUUGGGAAUGCAGCUCCAAGUGGGUGGUAAAUUUCAUCUAAGGCUAAAUACCGGCGGGAGACCGAUAGCGCACAAGUAGAGUGAUCGAAAGAUGAAAAGCACUUUGAAAAUAGAGUCAAAAAGUACGUGAAAUUGUUGAAAGGGAAGCGCUUGAGACCAGACUCAGGCCCGGGCAAACAUCUCUCCCCUCGGGGCCGUGCAAUUGCCUGGGGCUGGGCCAGCAUCAGUUGGUGUGGCGGGACAAAGGCGUGGGGAAUGUGGCUCCCCUCGGGGAGUGUUAUUAGCCCCGCGCUCAAUGCCGCCGACGCCGACUGAGGACCGCGCCUCGGCUAGGAUGCUGGCUUAAUGGCCUCCAGCGACCCGUCUUGAAACACGGACCAAGGAGUCUAACAUCUAUGCGAGUGUUUGGGUGCCAAACCCUUGCGCGGAAUGAAAGUGAGCGGAGGUGGGAACCCCCCUGCGGGGCGCACCAUCGACCGAUCCUGAUGUCUUCG